UUUCCGUAGGUGAACCUGCGGAAGGAUCAUUACCGAGUUUAAGGAUCUUCGGAUCCAACUCCCACCCUUUGUCUAUCUGUAGUCUUCGGCAAGACGACUUGUCUCAAGCCACUGGCGUCAUGCGAGUGUGUGCUUGCCGAAGUUUCAAACUCUAUUUUGACGUCUGAUUACAAAGAAAAUAAACAAAACUUUCAACAACGGAUCUCUUGGUUCUGGCAUCGAUGAAGAACGCAGC
Molecule: unclassified non-coding RNA, 235 nt
Filed under: uncultured fungus
Lineage: Eukaryota; Fungi
Description: sequence contains ITS1, 5.8S rRNA gene
Rfam family: 5.8S ribosomal RNA (bases 187-235)
Source: RNAcentral